CGGGGCGUGGCUCAGUUUGGUAGAGCGCAUGGUUCGGGACUAUGAGGUCGCUGGUUCAAAUCCAGUCGCCCCGACCA
Molecule: transfer RNA, 77 nt
Filed under: Bacillota bacterium
Lineage: Bacteria; Bacillati; Bacillota
Description: Firmicutes bacterium (anaerobic digester metagenome) tRNA-Pro
Rfam family: tRNA
About the family: Transfer RNA (tRNA) molecules are approximately 80 nucleotides in length. Their secondary structure includes four short double-helical elements and three loops (D, anti-codon, and T loops). Further hydrogen bonds mediate the characteristic L-shaped molecular structure. tRNAs have two regions of fundamental functional importance: the anti-codon, which is responsible for specific mRNA codon recognition, and the 3' end, to which the tRNAs corresponding amino acid is attached (by aminoacyl-tRNA synthetases). tRNAs cope with the degeneracy of the genetic code in two manners: having more than one tRNA (with a specific anti-codon) for a particular amino acid; and 'wobble' base-pairing, i.e. permitting non-standard base-pairing at the 3rd anti-codon position.
Source: RNAcentral